GAUGAACGCUGGCGGCGUGCCUAAUACAUGCAAGUCGAGCGAACAGAUAAGGAGCUUGCUCCUUUGACGUUAGCGGCGGACGGGUGAGUUACACGUGGAUAACCUACCUAUAAGACUGGGAUAACUUCGGGAAACCGGAGCUAAUACCGGAUAACAUAUUGAACCGCAUGGUUCAAUAGUGAAAGGCGGCUUUGCUGUCACUUAUAGAUGGAUCCGCGCCGUAUUAGCUAGUUGGUAAGGUAACGGCUUACCAAGGCAACGAUACGUAGCCGACCUGAGAGGGUGAUCGGCCACACUGGAACUGAGACACGGUCCAGACUCCUACGGGAGGUAGCAGUAGGGAAUCUUCCGCAAUGGGCGAAAGCCUGACGGAGCAACGCCGCGUGAGUGAUGAAGGUCUUCGGAUCGUAAAACUCUGUUAUCAGGGAAGAACAAAUGUGUAAGUAACUGUGCACAUCUUGACGGUACCUGAUCAGAAAGCCACGGCUAACUACGUG
RNAcentral lists this ribosomal RNA (497 nucleotides) under uncultured bacterium. RNAcentral's name for it is "partial 16S ribosomal RNA". It matches the Rfam family "Bacterial small subunit ribosomal RNA", at positions 28 to 507 of the family's 1533-position model. The record is from RNAcentral.